Long non-coding RNA from Oncorhynchus masou masou (cherry salmon), 189 nucleotides. RefSeq lists it as uncharacterized. The transcript is spliced from 3 exons. Lineage: Eukaryota; Metazoa; Chordata; Actinopteri; Salmoniformes; Salmonidae. The record is from RefSeq and is a predicted model, not a curated record.
GAUCAACAGAAAUGCAGGACAGAUGCCAGGGAAGUCCAGAAGAAUGACACGUCUGCAUUACUUGUGACAUGACUUCCUGACUUCAAGGCAUCUGAUCAGAAUCUCCACUUGGAGUUCCAUUCUGAAUAGGAAUGUGUGCCGAAUACCUGAUUCCAGACCACGAGACUGAUGCGCUUGGUGAAAGUCCAG